This 520-nucleotide ribosomal RNA is filed under the name uncultured bacterium. RNAcentral describes it as "bacterial SSU rRNA". It matches the Rfam family "Archaeal small subunit ribosomal RNA", at positions 345 to 866 of the family's 1478-position model. The record is from RNAcentral.
AACCUCCGCAAUGUGAGAAAUCGCGACGGGGGGAUCCCAAGUGCCAUUCUUAACGGGAUGGCUUUUCAUUAGUGUAAAGAGCUUUUGGAAUAAGGGCUGGGCAAGACCGGUGCCAGCCGCCGCGGUAACACCGGCAGCUCUAGUGGUAGCAGUUUUUAUUGGGCCUAAAGCGUCCGUAGCCGGUUUAAUAAGUCUCUGGUGAAAUCCUGUAGCUUAACUGUGGGAAUUGCUGGAGAUACUAUUAGACUUGAGACCGGGAGAGGUUAGAGGUACUCCCAGGGUAGAGGUGAAAUUCUGUAAUCCUGGGAGGACCGCCUGUUGCGAAGGCGUCUAACUGGAACGGUUCUGACGGUGAGGGACGAAAGUUAGGGGCGCGAACCGGAUUAGAUACCCGGGUAGUCCUAACUGUAAACGAUGGGACUUGGUGUUGGGGUGGCUUUGAGCUGCUCCAGUGCCGAAGGGAAGCUGUUAAGUCCGCCGCCUGGGAAGUACGGUCGAAAGACUGAAACUUAAAGGAAGU